Molecule: non-coding RNA, 290 nt
Organism: Cherax quadricarinatus
Lineage: Eukaryota; Metazoa; Arthropoda; Malacostraca; Decapoda; Parastacidae
Source: RefSeq, a predicted model, not a curated record
GCGGCAGAUGAGAGGUCAGUGAAGGAGUCAGUUAACACUUGACCAGCGAGGAGAUAACACGUCACUCUCACUCCUCCUCCUCCAGUCUUGUACUUCAUCAUGAUCUCCAGUGACAAGUCUUCAGACAUGAAGCCUUGCACCGUGAACUGUUGCAGGAGAUCGAUGGCAUUGAUAGCUUCAUGGAAGGCAUGUGCCACCGCAAAACAGAAUUAGCUAGUGCUGUAGCAGGAGCAAGAUCUCUUCUUGUUGGCCUUCGCUCAGUAAUUACUGAAUUAAAAGGAAAGAGUCAG